RNAcentral lists this transfer RNA (85 nucleotides) under Eubacteriales Family XIII. Incertae Sedis bacterium. RNAcentral's name for it is "tRNA-Leu". It matches the Rfam family "tRNA". From Rfam's summary of the family: Transfer RNA (tRNA) molecules are approximately 80 nucleotides in length. Their secondary structure includes four short double-helical elements and three loops (D, anti-codon, and T loops). Lineage: Bacteria; Bacillati; Bacillota; Clostridia; Peptostreptococcales; Anaerovoracaceae. The record is from RNAcentral.
GCGGAUAUGGCGGAACUGGCAGACGCGCACGGUUCAGGUCCGUGUGAGUAACAUCGUGGAGGUUCGAGUCCUCUUAUCCGCACCA